RNAcentral lists this transfer RNA (33 nucleotides) under Crotaphytus bicinctores. RNAcentral describes it as "partial tRNA-Met". Lineage: Eukaryota; Metazoa; Chordata; Lepidosauria; Squamata; Crotaphytidae. The record is from RNAcentral.
CCGAAAAUGUUGGUUCAAAUCCCUCCUAUACUA